Molecule: ribosomal RNA, 691 nt
Filed under: uncultured Alphaproteobacteria bacterium
Lineage: Bacteria; Pseudomonadati; Pseudomonadota; Alphaproteobacteria
Description: bacterial SSU rRNA
Rfam family: Bacterial small subunit ribosomal RNA
Source: RNAcentral
CCGGCACGCCUAACACAUGCAAGUCGAGCGCUUCACUUCGGUGAGGAGCGGCGGACGGGUUAGUAACGCGUGGGAACAUACCCUUUUCUAAGGAAUAGCCACUGGAAACGGUGAGUAAUACCUUAUACGCCCUUCGGGGGAAAGAUUUAUCGGUGAAGGAUUGGCCCGCGUUAGAUUAGUUAGUUGGUGGGGUAACGGCCUACCAAGACGACGAUCUAUAGCUGGUUUGAGAGGAUGAUCAGCAACACUGGGACUGAGACACGGCCCAGACUCCUACGGGAGGCAGCAGUGGGGAAUCUUAGACAAUGGGCGCAAGCCUGAUCUAGCGAUGCCGCGUGAGUGAUGAAGGCCUUAGGGUCGUAAAGCUCUUUCGCCAGGGAUGAUAAUGACAGUACCUGGUAAAGAAACCCCGGCUAACUCCGUGCCAGCGGCCGCGGUAAUACGGAGGGGGUUAGCGUUGUUCGGAAUUACUGGGCGUAAAGCGCGCGUAGGCGGACUAUUAAGUCAGAGGUGAAAUCCCAGGGCUCAACCCUGGAACUGCCUUUGAUACUGGUAGUCUUGAGUUCGAGAGAGGUGAGUGGAAUUCCGAGUGUAGAGGUGAAAUUCGUAGAUAUUCGGAGGAACACCAGUGGCGAAGGCGGCUCACUGGCUCGAUACUGACGCUGAGGUGCGAAAGCGUGGGGAGCAAACA